CCCCUGCACCGUGGAAAAGACCUUGAUAUCACUGCCUGCUCUGCUAUUGAAUUCUGCCUGAUUGGGCCACAAAAGCCCCCGUAUGAAGAGCUGCUGAAUAUAGAGGCAACACAUACACUAUACUGGUGGUGUAUUGAGUGUAGUGAUACAUCUGUGAUCACCUUGAGGACUUUAUGUGGGACCUCAGGGAGCAGCUCCUUCAGCUGAGACAGAGAGGCCCCCAGGAGCCACGGGACGGAUGCUCUCCUCAGCAUUAGCUGACUAACCAGAGGGUUCAUACAUGGGAACUGCAACAGACACUUUUCAGCCUGGAGGGAAAGAAAACAACAGCAAACUCAUAUUACAAAACCUUCAGAUCCUCAGACUUCAUGCCAAACAGGACCAGAGACGAAUAAACCAACACCAAGUUGCUGAAGGCUUCACUGGAAAACCUGCCAUCAGACAGAAGCAGUGACGACUGUUGCCCACGGUGACUGGCCUGGAUGGUCGUACUCCACCACCAGAGAGAAGCAGCUCCAGGGGAAGUCCGGCCCGACGUGCUGCUCAUACACCACCACACACACACUGUUGCGCAUGCUGGUGGAACAGCAGAAACAAUGACCUCUUACUCACUCACACAGUAUGGAGUGAUGCGAGGAACUUGGUUUUUACAUAAUGUUCAUCAAACUCAAACAAAAGAAAACUUUAAACAGCAUUUGCUGAACAUAUUUCAUCAGUGUUGAGAUGUAAACAGAACUACCACUAACGAUG
Long non-coding RNA from Cottoperca gobio, 750 nucleotides. RefSeq lists it as uncharacterized. The transcript has 4 exons. NCBI's taxonomy places the organism in Eukaryota, Metazoa, Chordata, Actinopteri, Perciformes, Bovichtidae. The record is from RefSeq and is a predicted model, not a curated record.